UUUACACGUACAAUUCUAAGACCAAUCUUAAUUCUUACAGGACCAUAUGCAGAGGAUCGAGUGUCGGGAAGAAGAAAACAUCUGGAAGUAGAUCGAUAAUACAAGCUUUAUUCUCUCAUUACUUAUACGUACAAUUCUAAGACCGUUUUUAAUUUUUACAGAAGCAUAUGCAAAGGAUCUGGUGUCGGGAAAGAGGAAUAAUGAAUCAACACCUAGUUAUUUUUACAGCGGCAUGUGCGGAGGAUCCAAUGUUAGGAAGGAACAAUAAUGAAUCAAUACCUAAGCAUAUGCA
Long non-coding RNA from Ceratina calcarata, 292 nucleotides. RefSeq lists it as uncharacterized. NCBI's taxonomy places the organism in Eukaryota, Metazoa, Arthropoda, Insecta, Hymenoptera, Apidae. The record is from RefSeq and is a predicted model, not a curated record. The transcript is spliced from 3 exons.